CGACUCUAGAGGGACGUGCCGGCGACAAGUCGGAGGAAGUGGGAUGACGUCAAUCAUCAUGCCCCUUAUGACCUGGGCUACACACGUGCUACAAUGGGCGGUACAAAGGGCUGCGAACCCGCGAGGGGGAGCGAAUCCCAAAAAGCCGCUCUCAGUUCGGAUUGCAGGCUGCAACUCGCCUGCAUGAAGCCGGAAUCGCUAGUAAUCGCGGAUCAGCAUGCCGCGGUGAAUACGUUCCCGGGCCUU
Molecule: ribosomal RNA, 246 nt
Filed under: uncultured Geobacillus sp.
Lineage: Bacteria; Bacillati; Bacillota; Bacilli; Caryophanales; Anoxybacillaceae
Description: partial 16S ribosomal RNA
Rfam family: Bacterial small subunit ribosomal RNA
Source: RNAcentral